AACGAACGCUGGCGGCAUGCCUAACACAUGCAAGUCGAACGAAGGCUUCGGCCUUAGUGGCGCACGGGUGAGUAACGCGUGGGAAACUGCCUAUUGGUGGGGAAUAACGACGGGAAACUGUCGCUAAUACCGCAUAAGCCCUUCGGGGGAAAGAUUUAUCGCCGAUAGAUGUGCCCGCGUCCGAUUAGCUAGUUGGUGAGGUAAUGGCUCACCAAGGCGACGAUCGGUAGCUGGCCUGAGAGGAUGAUCAGCCACACUGGGACUGAGACACGGCCCAGACUCCUACGGGAGGCAGAAGUGGGGAAUAUUGGACAAUGGGCGAAAGCCUGAUCCAGCAAUGCCGCGUGAGUGAUGAAGGCCUUAGGGUUGUAAAGCUCUUUCGGGUGGGACGAUGAUGACGGUACCACCAGAAGAAGCCCCGGCUAACUUCGUGCCAGCCGCCGCAGUAA
This 449-nucleotide ribosomal RNA is filed under the name uncultured bacterium. RNAcentral's name for it is "partial 16S ribosomal RNA". It matches the Rfam family "Bacterial small subunit ribosomal RNA", at positions 29 to 523 of the family's 1533-position model. The record is from RNAcentral.